CCCUCUUCAUACAUUUCCUUAAAAUUCUUCUGAAACACCAAAACUAAAUAAUCGAAUAUGGCUUUGCGGGUCGAUGAUGCCAGCAACAAUGAGGCUGCAAUUAUCACUUGUUUAGUUUCUAUGCUUGCCGUGGUUUAUUUCGUAUGGAAUGUGAACAAAUCAAGGAAAGCAAAUGCUAAACUGCCACCAGGACCUCGCGGUUUGCCUGUAGUCGGAUACCUCCCAUUUCUCGGAACUACUGACUUGCACAAGAAAUUCACGGAAUUAUCCGGAGUUUAUGGUCCGAUCUUCAAGCUCUGGCUCGGAAAUAAAUUAAGUGUCGUGGUGAGCUCACCUUCCCUAGUUAAACAAGUGGUUCGUGAUCAAGAUACAACAUUCGCAGACCGUGACCCGCCGAUCUCAGGACUAGUGACCUCCUUUGGUGGCAAUGAUAUUACAUGGUCCAAUUACGGUCCCGAAUGGAGAAAGUUGCGCAAAUUUUUUGUGGGCAAGAUGAUGAGUAACGCAAGCCUUGAUGCUUGUUAUGCUUUAAGAAAACAUGAGGUUAAAAAUACUAUCAGGGAUUUGUAUAACAACGGCAACAAAAUUGGUAAGCCCAUUGACAUUGGUGAAUUGUCGAUUUCAACAUUGGUAUGUGCUAUGCAGAACAUGCUGUGGGGUGAAGCGCUUGAAUUAAAAGAGAAAGGGACAACUAAUCUUGGGGUUGAGCUAAAAUUUAAGUUUGCAGAACUCAUGGUGCUACUGGGAACACCGAAUAUUUCGGAUAUCUUUCCAAUGCUUUCUUGGCUCGACAUACAAGGUAUAGAGAGGAGAGCAAAGAAGAUUUCACUCUGGUUUGAAAAAAUUAUAAAUUCUACUGUUGAAAAGUAUAGAAGCAAGGACUUUAAUGUUGAAGGUAAAGAAAGAGCAGGGGAAAAUUUUGAAGGAUCAAGGAACAAGAACUUCUUGCAGUUACUAUUGGAGCUUCAAGAAAAUGAAGACGGUUCUUCCUCAAUUAGCAUGAACCAAUUUAAGGCCGUACUCGUGGUAUGUUAAGAAACUAGCCGCAAACAGUUAUACAAGCACAGCUGUAUAUUUUGCAUGAGUGAUAUUUUCAACCUUUUUUUUUUAUAAUUAGAAUUUUAUUGUAACCUUUUGGACAGGAUAUAAUUACGGCUGGAACCGACACCACAACUACGAUGGUGGAAUGGACAAUGGCAGAGUUGAUGCAGCAUCCACAAAUAAUGAAGAAAGUUCAGGAAGAAUUAGCUCAAGUUGUGGGCAUGGACAGUUGUGUUGAAGAAUUUCAUUUGCCUAAAUUGAAAUAUUUAGAUGCUGUGGUGAAAGAAUCGUCUCGUCUGCAUCCUGCAGUGCCUUUAUUACUACCACGCAGAGCAAGCGAGAGUGGCAGCAUUGGUGGCUAUAACAUUCCCAAAGAUACAACUAUUAUGUUGAAUGUUUGGGCAAUCCACAGGGACCCUAAACUUUGGGAUAAUCCCUUAGAAUUUCGACCCGAGAGGUUUCUAGAUGAUGGUAUCGCGAGUAAGUUCGAUUACUCAGGUAACAAUUUUCAGUACUUGCCAUUUGGUUCUGGUAGAAGGAUGUGUGCUGGGAUUCCUCUAGCUGAGAGGAUGCUGAUGUUUGUUUUGGCUUCGUUAUUGCACUCAUUUGAGUGGGAAUUGCCAGCUGGCACAAAGCUAAACUUAUCUGAAAAAUUUGGGAUUGUCAUUAAGAAAAAAGAGCCUUUAGUUGCUAUUCCAACACCAAGACUAUCCAAUUCAGAGCUCUACCAUUAAGACAGAAUGGUUGUGAUGAUUUUGUUAAUUUCCGAAGAUUUGUAUGUUAUGUCAAGUUCAAUCGUAAUAAAAUAUUUCAAAUAAGAGUCCUCCGUUGCUUUUUUUUUUUUUUUCAACCGCAUAAUCUGUCGUCAUGCUUGUAUUUGGGGCUACUUUGGAAUAAUUAUGUUUGAAUUACAAUAUAUAAAUAUUACAUUUUAAAAUUUUAUGAGAUUCUAAAUUUAUACACGUUCAAUAACCCACUUCAUAUAUGUUUAACACAAUUUAUAUCAUACAUUGUAUACCCAUUUGUCAUAAAUUACGCUAUUUUAUAUCUCUAAAUAAUAUUACAUAUUGAUAUUAUAAAAUGUUGUUAACUCACGUGUGUAUAUAUAUAUAGCAAGUCACGUGCAUAUAUUAUUGGUUGUUAUAUGUUUGCUAGUUUGAUAGGAUUUCCUUUCCUUGUGAACUAGGGUAAUUCUUAUGUACAUAUAAAUAUUGAUCAAUAAGAGUGCAGAUGAUGACUGCAGUUUUGCAUCGUAGAAAUUCUUCGUAAAAUAUAUAUGUUUAUCAAAAGGCUAUACCAUUCAAUAUAUAUUGGAAAGAGAACAAAGAAGAUCUUCUUAUGGUUUGAAAAUAUUAUGAAUUCUGCUGUUGAACAGUAUGGAAACAAGGUCUGUUGUUAAAGGUGAAGAAGUCACAGGGAACAAUAUUGAAGGAAGAAAUUUCACGUUUAGUUGCUGAAUUUGCCGCUGUAUUCUAUCGGUAGUAAAAAGAUUAGAGUUUUUAUUUUUCUCUAUUAAUGUUAAGUCAAUUUUCUAUAACAAAUUCGGUUGAGUUUAAUUGUGUUACAAUAUAAAUUGAAUGAUAGUAGAAUUUUCAACGAAUAAUUCAAUAUUUCUAUCUCGAUUGUUGAAGUGCCAUUUAUUUGUUAUACGAUCGAUUUUAAAAUUUAUAAAAUUAUUUGUUACUAAAUUGCAUCAUAUGCUAAAUCACCUGAAACCUAAUUUCAUAACUAACCCUUUAUUUUUAGUUCUCAAGAAAUCUUGUAAGAACAAAAUUCUUUUGUAACAAAACGUUUACAACAAAUUAAUUUGUAACUCAUUCCUGUGCGAGAAUCACUCUCAAUUUCCUUCAAUUGCUGUUUAACAAUCAUCUGCUUAUCAAAAUUCAAGCAUAAUCUUUUUUUUUAAUUUCUUCAUCAUUCUUUUGAAAAAAAAAAUCAGGAUAUGCUGUUAAAUUUUGAAAUAAAUUAUCUCAAAAUAAUUACUAACCAGAAAAAACAAAGGGGUUUAACUAGGUUAUGCAUACCUUUGAAAAUUAUAUGUUGAUCGAUAAGAAUGAUGAUCACGAUUGACGAGUUUAAUUAAAAUAUAUAAGAUUUUAAAAUUAAUCAGGGUUAAAUUGUGAAUUUUAGAAAGAGAGGUUUUGUGAGAAUGUUGAAAGGGUGUUAAUAGUUCCACUCUUUUUAAAAACAACCAUAGUCAUCAUUUUUCCAUGGUUGUUUUUAAAAAGAGUAUUUCUUCUUCCCAUCUCCAUCUUAUUUAGAAAUUUCCCAGAGCCUUUGUUUCCCACCUUUCAUUUUUCUUCUUUCUAAUUUAAUAAUCCACCCUUCUUGUAUUCAAACUAAAAAAUUAAAAUCUGAAAAUUUAAAACCCAAUAUUAUAGUAUUAUAAAAAUAAUUACUCACAUUUUAUCAAACACCUCCAUUCUUCCAAGGCCUUGUUUUAGUAGUAGGCUUUUAUUAUCUCAAUAAAAUUGAAAAAAAAAAUCUCAAUAAUAUUGGAAAAAAACCCUACCCAUAUUUGUAACUUUAAUUUAUUAUUCUCCAUAGACCUACUUUUUAGUUUUGAAUUUUGUUGGAGCCAUAUAUAAACAGAAUAUGUUGAAAUCAGCACCCAAAAAAAAAAAAACUAAUUAUAUAAUUUAUGUUCCCAAGGACAUGGCUGAGUGAUUUUCAAGAAGUUUUGUUUGGCUGGCCACUUAGGUUUAAAUCUUGGUGGAGAUUAAGGGUUAAGAAAUAAAUUUAGACUUUGCACACCCCUUUAACUUUUAAAAAGAAAUGAAAAAAUUAAUUAAUUAAUCUUUAUUUUAUUUAUUAAAUGUCAUAAUCCUAUGCGUAUUUUAUUUGUUAUCUUUCUAUUUAAAAGACGAGGGCAGAUAAAACUGAAAUAAAUUUUUAGCCCUAUCUCCAUAUUUCAAGUUCCAUAGUUAGGUGACCAGCUAAAAAAAAUUAAUUGAAAGCUACUCCAUCAAAUUAAAAAAAUUUAUUUAUUUAAUUUGUGGAGAUGUAGAAAAUCAAACCCCAUACCUUUUCGCAUACACUGAACAUAUUUUAAUACAUGACUAUCAUCCUUUAUCCUAAAUACUACUAUAACUAAUAACAUACAAUUGAAAUAAUUAAUGUUAACACUUGGCUAUAAAUAAAGGUUUUGUGCUUGAAUCUUCACGCAUGACCUUCAUUCCUUUAUUGACUUUGCUAACACAGAUUUUGAGGCAUUAAAACUAAAUAAUAAUUGACUUUGUGGGCCGAGGAUGCCAGCAACAAGGAGACCACAAUUAUCACUUAAGUUACUCUAAUUGCCGUUGUCUUAUAUUCAUAGAAUAUUAGUAAUAAGAUUAUUGCAGAAUUUUUUUAAUAUUAAAAUUAAGUCAAUUUGUUAUAACAAAUUUAGUUGAGUUUAAUCGUGUUACUACAUAAAUUGAAUAAUAAUAGAAUUCUCGACAAAUAUUUCAAUAUUUUUAUCCCAAGCGUUGGAGUGGCAUUUAUUUGUUAUACGAUCGAUUUUAGAACUUAUAAAAUUAUUCGUUACUGAAUUGCACCAUAUGCUGCAUGACCUGAAACUUAAUAAACGGAAUGUAGCGUUGGCACCGUUACUCAACAUACUGUUACGACUUUGUGACAUUAGAAUUAAAAUCUUUUGCACAUUUAAUUUGUUUACUUCAAAAUUAAUAUUUAACAAAAUAUUUUUUUCACAUUAUCAAUGGACAAAACUCCAACGAAAAUAACUACACAAGAAAAAUGUAUGCUAGUAUUGUGUGCCAUAUCAUCUGUAAUUUUGUCAGGAUCGAACACUCUAAUUUUUAAGCAGAACUUUUUAUCAAUGGACAAACACCUCACACAGCUUGUCAGAGGCAUUAUUAUGAUAGAAAACUGUAAUGGUAUAUCUUGAAUUAUUGGUAGAAUAGUUCUUUGGAGCAAUAAAAAUAGAUAAGACAGAUGAGAAAAUUGUCAAUACCCCACCGCAAAAGCAAAAGAAAAAAAGGAAAGGAGACAAAAGAGGAAGAAGAAAAAAAGGAAAGGAGACAAAAGAGGAAGAAGAAAAAGAAAAAAGAACGAAGAAAAAAAUGGUGCCGCGCUGUAUUGGGAAGAAGAAAAAAAUUAAUAAAAUAAUAAUAAAUAAUAAAUAAUAAAUAAUAAAAUAAUAGUGCACAACAAUCAUUUGAUUGCUAUAAAUAAAGGGGCAUUUUCCUCAUUUUAUUCAUCGAAUUCUUCAGUUCCUUUCAAGCGAUUUAAGAGUCUAGUGAUUUGAGAGUUUGGGAGUAUUGUGAUUUUGAGUACUAAGUUAAAAUACUAUAAUACUUGUAACUCAUUUUCACUAGUAAAAUAUUUUUCUUCUGUCUUCGCCCGUAGACGUAGGCUAAAAGCUGAACCACGUAAUUUCUGGUGUCCCUAUGUGAUUAUGUGUCUCAUUAUUUCUCAAUUUUACUUUAGUUACGUGUCUGCUACACCCUUCAAUUUACUAACAAAAAUGGCCAAAAUUAUAUAAGUGACCCAAAUUUUUUUGCUAUUUCCAAGAAAUCCCCAAUCGGAAUAGACCAAACUAGAGGGAGGCAAGUUAGAAAUACGUUUCCUUCAUAAACAAUAACAGCGAUGAGUCGAUGACAUCGAGCCACGUCGGUAUCAAUAUUGAAUUAAAGGUGCAAUUAUUCAGCCAAUGAGCCUUACACAUCAAGAUAAAAGUCAAGAAAAUGAAAAAUUUAUCCUAAUUAAAACACUUUCUGGCUGCAUUUAGCUGUUUCUAUUUGAAGUUAAAAACAACAUUUCUUUCGUUUUGUGGGCAACUCGACUGAGUUCGCUGGCUUCUAGUGCUAGUAUGUGAAAAUAGAAGGCUAAUGAUUUAUUUGUUAUCUUUUGACAAAAAAUGUUAAAGAUAUAAUAGAUUUUCCAUGAUACAAAUGAAAAAUUAUAUCAACAUAACUUCCAAGCUACAGCAGCUAGUGUUUACCAAACACUUUGCUGUAGCUUUUAAGCUACAGCUGCCCAACCUCAAUAGGUUGAUUGAAUUUGUGGGAUAUAGAUUCCACAUAUCUCAUGACCUAUUAAUUAUACAAGUGGUUCUUGAUCAAGAACAACAUUUGCUUCCGACCCAGUAACCCAGCAACUGCUGCACUGGUCGCCACCUAUGGUGCCGACGAUAUUGCAUGGUCCAAUUAUGGCCUUGAAUGGAAAAAGUUGAGCAAAUUAUUUGUGGGCACGAUGAUAAGUAACGCAAGCCUUGAUGCUAGUUAUGGUCGAAGAAAACAAGAGGUUAAGAAUACUAUCAGAGAUAUGCAUAACAACAAAAAGGAAAAAAAAAAAAAAAGGCAUUGGCAAGUCAAUUGAUAUUGCUGAAUUGUCGAUUUCAACUUUGGCAUGUGUAAUUCAGACAUUGCGCGUUGUGGUAUGGCGCUGGCACGCUUGCAUUGCCGAGAGGACAAAUCUUGGGGCUGGGCUAAAAUUUAGGCUUGUAGAACUCAUGGUGCUAAUGGGAACGCCAAAUUUUUUUAACAUAUUUCGGUGCUUUCAUGGUUUAAUUCAAGGUAUAGAAAGGAGUGUUGAGAAUGUCAAAUAAAACGACAUUGAAUGGAAGUUGUCAAAGACAUGAUCCGCACUGAACGGCAAUGACACGGUUGGUAAAGAUUUUUUCAUAAUAUGCGUAUCUAAUUUUUGAAAAAUUGUAACCUCUGCUUCUAUAAAUAUGCUCAAUGUAUAAUGUUUUACUUAAGAAAUGAAAAACUUAAUUCUUUAUGGUAUCAGAGCGAGGCUCGUUGCUCUGUUUGUAACAAAAACAAAGAAAACUAAAUUCUUCCCACAACUAUUUUUCCACCUUUUUUUCUUCCUUAAAAGCAUUCCUAGCAUUACAGAAACCCAUGCCAAUAAAAGAACAAGCCACACAUAUGUAAAAACUUUAGUUUACAAAUCUAUCAACAUCCCCAUAAAUUUUCCCAAAAAGUGAUCUUCAAAAACCAAAAAUACCAUCAAUUUUCGCAUCUUCUAGUAAACAAACUAUAAAAGUUUCGCACUCAAACAGAGCCACACGCGCCUCCACGCGCUUCCCGGAAUCACGGCCAACCACCACGCGCCUCUGUCACCACCAACUCACCCUCAUGCGCUCCAGAUGUUGCAGAAGACGCAAAACGACGUGUCGUUUUCUUCUCUAAAAGUGCAGCAACGUGGAAAUGACUUUUUGUUUUUGCCUUAAAUUGUUUUUCCUCGUUUGAAGCUAUACAACAUUUUUCUUUCUAAACCUGUUUUUUACAAUAAAAAAAGAAAAAAAUGGAGAAAACUCCAACUGAAUCUACUCAUGUUGUCAUUCAAUCUGUUCAACCUGAUGGAGUAUUUAAUGCCGAAAUUAUCCUUACUAAGACAAACUACGAUAUUUGAUCUCAAAUAAUGGAGAUGCAUCUCGCAGAAAGAAAAAAACUCCCAUAUAUUCGUAGCAGCAUAAAUCCAUCUGACAAAUUUUCAAAGAAAUAUGAGAAAUGGUAUAGUGAGAACCAAAAAGUAAAAAGAUGGUUACUCAUAACCAUGUGUCCUGAGAUCAUGAAGCGAUAGUUACAAAUUCCUACAGCCUACGAAAUUUAGAAUGCAUUAUCAAAAGCCUUUUAUAAUGGAAGCGAUGAAAUACAAGUUUUCACUCUAAAUCAGAAGGCGUUCUCUACGAAGCAAAAUGGACAACCACUCUCUAAAUUCUACGGAGAAUUGAUCAAAAUGUUUCAAGAACUUAAUCACCGAGAUAAAGUGGUCAUGAAGGAUCCAGAAGAUGUUAUAAUAUAUAGGAAGUUUGUUGGAAGAUUGAGAGUGCACAUUUUUCUUGCUGGACUAGAUGAAGAAUUUGACCAAGUUUGUGGAGAAAUUCUACGAAAAGAUACUAUCCUAGACUUAAAAGAAUGUUAUUCUCUAAUCCGAAAAGAAGAUGUACGGCAAAGCAAACUAACAAGAAGGUGGACGACUCAGAAACGUCUGCUAUGAUACCACAAGAGAACAAUGUUUUGAAAUUGUUCGAUAUCCUGACUGGUGGGAUACUCGAAGUAAUAACACAAAGCAGAGAUAAAAAACUGCAGUAGCUGAAUCCACAUCCACUACAGAUCUUAGAAAAGAAUCUUCAGCGCAAAUUGCAACCUCUGUCAAUUCAGGUAAGGUCAUUAAAACUCUUACAUUUGUUAUUAAUAGUAUAUGGAUAAUUGAUUAUGGUGCAACUGAUCAUAUGACUUUUGAUUCUUGACAAGUUUCUUAAUUGAAACCAUCUUCACAUAAACAUGUUUCUACUGUAAAUAGAACCACAACCUCAGUUAUUGGGGAAGGAUCUUUACAACUCACAAUUAAAUCAAAUUUAGACUUUGUGUUAAUUGUUCCAUCUUUAAAUUAUAAUCUUUUAUAUGUGUCUCAAAUAACCUCUUACUUAUCAUGUGUUGUAAUGUUUUGGCCCGAUCAUUGCAUGUUUAAGGACAUCCAAAUGAAGGAAACGAUUGGUUAUGAUAUUAAAUAAGGCAACUUGUAUUACCUGGAGAUGACAUCAACAAACACUGAAAAGCUAAGCCCCGCAUUAGUAGCAGACAAUUCCAUGAAAAAAAAGGAAAUAAGAAAUUUGGUUAUGGCAUAGACGAUUAGGGCAUGUGUCAUUUGAUUUCUUAAAAAAAUUGUUUCCUAGUUUGUUUCUGAAAUUUGAUAUUUGUAACUUUAAAUAUGAUGUUUGUGAACUUUCAAAUAGCCAUCGAACUACUUUUCCAUUGUCCUUAAAUAAGAAUCCAAUUCCUUUAAUGGUAGUACAUUCUGAUGUAUAGAGACCAUCUAAAGUUUCUACCAUUGGAAGAGCUCGUUGGUUUGUUACAUUUAUUGAUGAUUGUAGCAGAAUGACAUGGAUUUUUUUAUGAAAUUAAAAUCAUAUGAUGGUGACAACUCUAUUUCAGACACAAAUUUGAGUUCUACAUACUGAUAAUGGAGGCGAGUAUAUGAGCACAACAAUUCAACAGUUUUUGAAAUCACAAUGAACUCACCACCAAACCACUUGUGUGGGGACACUCCAACAAAAUGGCGUUGCUAAACAAAAAAAUAGACAUUUACUAGAAGUUGUUCAAGCAUCACUAAUUUAGGCCCGCAUGCCACUAUUUUAUUGGGGAGAAGCAUUGGCAUCCGUAGCAUACUUGAUCAAUCGGACACCUUCAAUCUUCCUUGGAUUCCAAACUUAUUUUCUAGUUCUAAAUGAAGAAUUAUGUCAUCAAAUGUGUCGAAUUUACCCCCACAUAUGUUUGGUUGUGUUGCCUUCGUUCAUUUGCCAUGACAAGAUAAAUUAUCUCCUCGAGCACUACGUUGUGUGUUUGUAGGGUAUGCCUUACAUCAAAAGGGGUACCGAUGCUAUCAUCCUCUAUUAAGAAAAAAUAUACAUCACCAUGGACAUAAUCUUUCAUGAAGAUAUCAUGUAGUACCCAUCGGAGCUUGAAUUUCAGAGGGAGUAUAAUGAAGAGGAAAUUCAUACUCUUACAUAUCUUUCACCUGAAGAAGAUCAAUCCUCCAUUGAGGUAGUAAACGUUCAAGAUACUGGAAAAGAAAACGACAAUGAUUCUCAGGCUGAGACAAGUGAAGACACAUUUAGGGAGCAAAAUAACUCAGACAUAACCACAAUCGAGAACGAGUCCAUGAAGAGCCACAUGAAGAAAUAUCUAACCAAUCAUCUGCAGAGGAUGAUCCUACCACAAAUCCCAGUCUAAUCAGAAGAAUACUUCCCCAGCAUCAAAAUAGAGGUAUCUCUAAACCCACAUAUAAGACUGACCUCUCUAGUAGAGUCAAAUACCCUAUGAGUCAUUUUGUAUCUAACCAUGGCUUAUCAAAAUCAAAUCAGUCAUUUGUGAAUCAAUUAUCUACUGUGUCUAUUCCUAACAGUGUGCAAUAAGCCUUAAAAUAUCGAAAGUGGAAAGGGCUAUGAAUGACGAAAUGAGAUCUCUUUAAAAAAAAUCAAACAUGGGAACUAAUUGAUCUUCCACCAGGAAAGAAACCAGUGGGUUGCCGAUGGAACUAGUUGAUCAUCCACCUCCAUUCUGACAAGCAAUGUUUAUCAGCAAUAACAAAUGACUGAAGCAUUUUAAUGAGGUUAGUAACGAAAAAGAGUUUAAUUAGAGAAUAUUAUAAGAGAAAUUCUAAUUUUUGAUUUUUAAUAAAUUAAAAUAUCUUAAAAUAUUAUUAGUUGGUGGUGGUUUCAUGUCAGAUUAAGACGUGACACCUUACUAAUGAGGUCGAGACAAUUAGCUUAAAUUAUUUCAAUGCAUUUGAAAUUUCCACUAAUGACUAUAAUUCUUUGUCCUAAUUACUAUGAUAAUUAAUAACAUACAAUUGAAAUAGUUAAUAUUAGCACUUGGCAAUAAAUAAUUAAAUUUCAUUAACACUAAAUAAUAAUUGAAUAUGGCUUUGUACAUCGAUGACGCCAGCAACAAGGGGACCGCGAUUAUCACUCUUUAAGUUGCUUUUAAAAUUGAUUUUAGUAGUGAUAUGAUUAUUGUAGUGUUUUUAUUUUUUAUAUUAAAAUUAAGUGAUUUGUUAUAAUAAACUUAGUUGAGUUUAAUGGUAUUACUACAUAAAUUGAAUAGUUAUCAAAUAUUUUAAUAUUUUUAUGGCAAGCGUUGACGUGGCAUUUAUUUGUUGUAUGAUGGAUUUUAAAAUUUAUAAAAUUAUUUGUUAUUAAAUUACCCCCAGAUGCUACAUCACCUGAAACUUAAUAAAGGUAUGAAGACAUGUGUGUGUGGACUGAAAUGAAGAAUAUGGAAAAGUUGAGAGCUGUUGUGCAGAUUGAGUUCAGUUGAUGGGGUCUAUUAGAUAUUGUCUGCUGACGUGGCAUGAAUUCGUUAUAAUCUGUUAUAACGAGUUCAGUAUAUCAGUAUACAAUAGAGCUGAUGGAUGGUGCCUGUUUUAGAGUCUUUUUUAUAUUCAUUUGUUCAUCAUUUUGCGCAAGAUCUGUUCCAUUGUGAUAUGUGUAAAGUCUUAUGUAAACCCACUUAUGAUUGGAUUAGUUCUUGAUUAAUAACAACGAGUAAAUUUUCCUUCAAGUGUGCUGGUCUGUGCCCCUGUUUUUUGUUCUGAUAUUGUUUCUUUGUUCUGGCAUUUCAUUUCGAUUGUGUUCUUGGUGUUUCUACUCAUCAAGAUUUAUGAGUCUUGUUGAGAUUAAAGACUUAAUAGUCUUAACAAGUGGUAUCAGAGCCUGGUGAAUCUCAGCCAUGUCUCUUUCGAAGCAUGAAAUUGAAAAAUUCACCAUUGGUGGUGAUUUCUCGCUUUCGAAAUUAAAAAUGAGGGCUCUCCUUGUGCAUUAGAGGCUUGAAUUUGCUCUGGAAAAAGAUAAUCUAGAGGCUGCUACAAGUUAUGUGACUGAUGAUAAGAAGAGACAAAUCCAAAACCGAGCUCGUAGCACUCUAGUUUUGAGUCUUGGUGACUCAAUCUUGAGAAAGAUUUCUGAAGAGAAGACAACCUUAGGGAUUUGGAACAAGGUAGAAGCUUUGUGUACAAAGAAGUCGCUAGCUCACAGACUAUUCUUGAAGAAAAAGUUAUACACAUUCUCGAUGAGAGAAGGAGUCACAAUUCAAGAUCACAUUGAUACCUUCAACAAGAUCAUUCUUGAUCUUGAAGGGGUGGAAAAUGUGACAAUAAGUGAUGAAGAUAAAGCCUUCUUCUUGUUGAGUUCCUUACCAAAGUCUUAUGAAGGCUUUGUAGAUACAAUGCUUUAUGGCAGAACAACAUUGACUCUUGAAGAUGUUAAAGCAUCUCUAAGUUCAAAAGAGAUUCAGAAGAACAAUGAGAUUGAAACAAAUAAUGGUGAUGGGCUGAUUGCCAGAUCAGAAAAGAAGAAAGAUCAGAAGAAUAAAAAUCAGGGAAAAUGACAUGGAAAGAAUUAAGAAAAUGCAGACAAGAAGAAAAAGAAGAGAAAAUGCUUCUACUGCCGGAAGGAAGGGCAUUACAUCAGGGAUUGUCUUAAAAAGAAAAAAAAAGAAAGUCAAGAGAAGUCAGGGGAUGCAGCUGUAGCCUCUGAUGAUGCCUCUGAUGGAUAUCACAUUGCUGAUUUACUUGUGGCCUCAAAUAGCAAUACUAAAGGUCAGUGGGUCAUAGACUCUGAGUGCUCUUUUCACUUGUGGCCUGAUAAAACCAUAUUUUACAAAUAUGAAGUUGUUGAUGGUGGUAGAGUCUUAAUGGGAAAUAAUAAUGUGUGUAAUCUUGUUGGUAUUGGUUCUGUGAAGAUCAAGAUGUUUGAUGGAACUGUAAGAGCUCUACAUGAGGUGAGGCAUGCUCCUAGGCUAAAGAGAAAUCUAAUCUCUUUAGGCAUGCUAGACAGCUUAGGGUAUUUCUUUAAAUCAGAAAGUGGUGGUUUAGAGAUAAGAAAGGGGACUGAGAUAGUGAUGAAGGGGGUUAAAGAAAAUGGCUUAUAUGUAUUGUAAGGCUCAUCAGUGCUUCUUCAAAAGGGAAUUUCUGCUCUUUUUGAGGAAGAUAUAACCAAGUUAUGACAUCUUAGACUUGGUCAUAUGAGUGUCAAAGGGAUGUAAGAGCUCAGCAAACAAGGGCUACUUGGUGGGGAUAGAAUCCAGCAACUGGAAUUAUGUGAAAAUUGCAUUUUUGGCAAAGCUCACAGGUCCAAGUUUCACAAGGGGGAGCAUAUGUCUAAGCAAGUUUUGGACUAUGCACAUGCUGACCUUUGGGGGCCUGCUCAAGUCCCAUCCUUGAGUGGUGGCAGGUAUUUCAUAUCACUAAUUGAUGAUUACUCAAGGAAGAUGUGGGUCUACAUACUCAAGACCAAAGAUCAAGCCUAGGAAAAAAUUCAAGGUAUAGAAAUCUUUGGUAGAAAAUCAAUUUGGAUUCAAGCUCAAAUGCUUGAGAACUGAUAAUGGUUUGGAAUUUUGUAGCAAAGAAUUUGAGGAAUAUUACAAAAAAACAUGGCAUAAAAAGGCACAAAACAGUCAGGUUCACCCCCCAGCAGAAUGGCUUGGCUGAAAGGAUGAACAUGACCUUGGUAGAUAAGACCAGAUGUAUGUUGAUAAAUUCAAAGCUUCCAAGAAGCUUUUGGGCAGAAGCUGUCAAUACAACAAGUUGUUUGGUUAACAGAAGCCCAUAUUCUGCAAUUGGCUUCAAAACACCAGAAGAAUUGUGGAAGGAAAAACCUGUAAAUUACCAAAAUCUCAGUGUUUUUGGAUGCCCUGCUUAUCUCCACAUCAAUCAAGGCAAGCUGGAAGCUAGGGCCUUGAAAGGAGUCUUUGUUGGAUAUCCUGAUGGGGUUAAGGGAUACAUAAUCUGGUGUAGAGAGUAAGGGAAGUGUAUAGUCAGCAGGGAUGUUGUGUUUCAUGAAUUUGGAUUGCUAAAAGAAAAUGCAGAGAAUGAUACUAGACUACAAAAUGAUUCAAUAAUUAUCAAACAAUCUGGAACUUCCAAGGUUAAGGUGGAGCUGUUUGGAAAUAAAGACAGUAGAAAAGAGGUAGCUGAUUAUGAAGAGAGGACCACAGCUAAAGUUGAGGAACAUGAGUCAUCAGAGUUGCCACAAGCUGACUUGCAGACUUAUCAGUUAGCAAGAGAUAGAGUUAGAAGAGAAGUCAAAGCACUAGUGAGGUAUGGCUAUGCUGACUUAAUUACUUAUGCAUUGUUGUGUGCUGAUGAUGUGGCAAUUGAAGAGCCUGCUAACUUCUCUGAAGUUAUUGAAAGUGUGCAUUGUGAUAAGUGGCUUGAGGCAAUGCAAGAUGAAAUGGGAUCCCUUCAAAGAAAUCAGACCUGGACACUUGUUCCAAAUCUAGGUAAUAAAAAGUUGAUCAGUUGUAAGUGGAUCUUCAAGAAGAAUGAAGGAAUUCCAGAUGUUGAACCUCCCAAAUAUAAAGCAAGGCUAGUGGCUAGGGGGUUUACACAGAGAAAGAGUGUAGAUUUCAAUGAAAAAUUUUCCCCUGUUCUUAAGCACAUUUCAAUAAGAAUUUUAUUAGUCAUGGUAGCCUUACUUGACUUGGAGCUUGAGCAAAUGGAUGUAAAAACAGCAUUCCUUCAUGGUAAUCUUGAAGAACAGAUAUUGAUGGCACAACCUAAAUGUUUUGAGUGCAAAGGAAAUGAGGAUUAUGUUUGUUUGCUGCAUAAGUCCUUGUAUGGACUCAAGCAAUCCCCACGACAGUGGUACAUAAGAUUUGAUGAUUUUAUGGUCUCAAAAGGCUAUCACAUAAGCAAAUAUGACAGUUGUGUUUACUUUGGUGGAUCAUAUCAAGGUGGAGUUGCUUAUUUGCUUCUGUAUGUUGAAGAUAUGUUAAUUGCAAGAAAAUAUAAGUUGGAGAUAGAGAGGUUGAAGAAAUGAAGGAUCUCGGCAAUGCCAAAAGAAUCCUUGGGAUGAACAUUACAAGGGGCAGAUCUGCUGACACUUUGUUCUUGAGUCAUGAGAAAUAUAUCAAGAAGGUUCUGGAGAGGUUUGAGAUGCAAGACUAUAAACCUGUCCAAACACCACUUGGUCCCCAAUUCAAGUUGACAGCAGCUCAAUCAUCAGAAGAUGAGUCUCAGGUGAGUGAAUUCCCAUAUGCACAGGUUGUAGGGAGCCUGAUGUAUGUAAUGGUAUGCACCAGGUCAGAUAUAGCUUAUGCAGUAAGUGUUGUCAGCAAAUUUCUCAGUUGUCUAGGCAAGGUUCACUGGAAUGUUGUAAAAUGGAUAAUGAGAUAUCUUAAGGGCUCUUUUACUUGUGGUUUGCUGUAUGGGAAGACUAAGAGUGACAUAAGUGAAGUCCUGGGGUUUGUAGACUCUGACUUUGCUGGAGAUCUUGAUAGAAUGAAGUCAACCUCAGGGUAUAUGUUUGUGUUAAACAGUUGCCUGAUUAGCUGGAAGUCAUCACUUCAGUCUGUGGUUGCUUUAUCCUCAACUGAAGCUGAGUUUGUUGCAACUACAGAGGCAGUAAAAGAGGCCAUGUGGCUAAGAGGUUUGCUUAAUGAGUUAUGGUUAAAUCAGAAAAUUGUUCAGGUUUUCUGUGAUAACCAAAGUGUCAUACACCUGGUAAAGAAUCAGAUGUAUCAUGAAAGAACCAAGCACAUUGAUGUGAAGCUCCAGUUUAUCAGAGAUGAGGUUGGAAAAGGAACUAUAAUUGUGUCCAAGAUCUAUACCAGUGUGAAUCCAACUGAUGUUAUUACAAAAGCACUUCCCACUGCAAAAUUUGAAUUCUAUGUGAAUCUAAUGGGCAUCUCGCCCAAACCUAACUAAAUUCAAUAGUGAAUUGUAGUUGAAUGAAGGUUUUUUAGGUGCUGUGUUAUUGAAAGGAUCAACUGAAUCAACUGCAAGGUGGAGAAUGUGAAGAUGUGUGUGUGGACUGAAAUGAAGAAUAUGAAAAAGUUGAGAGCUGUUGUGCAGAUUGACUUCAGUUGAUGGGGUCUAUUAGAUAUUGUCUGCUGACGUGGUAUGAAUUCGUUAUAAUCUGUUAUAACGAGUUCAAUAUAUCAGUAUAUAAUGGAGCUGAUGGAUGGUGCCUGUUUUAGAGUCUUUUUCGUAUUCAUUUGUUCAUCAUUUUGCACAAGAUUUGUUCCAUUGUGAUCUGUGUAAAGUCUUCUGUAAAUCCACUCAUGAUUGGAUUAGUUCUUGAUCAAUAACGAGUAAAUUUUCCUUCAAGUGUGCUGGUCUGUGCCCCUGUUUUUGGUUCUAAUAUUGUUUCUUUGUUUUGGCAUUUCAUUUCGAUUGUGUGCUUGGUGUUUCUACUCAUCAAGAUUUGUGAGUCUUGUUGAGAUUAAAGGCUUAAUAGUCUUAACAAAAGGGAAUGUAGCAUUGCCAUUAAUCAACAUUCACUCUUAUGACUUUAUGACAUUAGAAUUAAAAUCUUUCGUACAUUUAAUUUAUUUGCUUCCAAAUUAAUCUUUAAUAAAUAUUUUUUCACAUUAUCAUCAAUGGACAAAACUCCAACGAAAAUAACUACACGAGAACAAUUUAUGCUAGUAUUAAAUGCCACGAUAUCUAUAACUUUGUCUGGAUCGAUCAUUCUAAUUUUUUCGCAGAACUUUUUGUCAAUGGACAAACACCUCACAGAGCUUGUCAGCCGCAUUAUUACGAUGUAAAAUUGUACCGGAAUAUCUUGAAUUAUUAGUAGAAUAAUGAAGACUAUUUGGGGCAAUAAAAACAAAUAACGCAGAUAAAAAAAUGGCUAAAAUUAUGUAAGUGAGCCCCAAAGUUUUUGCUAUUUCCAGGAAAUCCCAAAUUUGAAUGGACUAGAGGGAGGCACGUAAGAAAUACAUUUUCUUCCUAGACAAUGACAGCUAUGACAUCAAGCCACGGUGGCGUCAGUAUUGAAAUUAAGGUGUAAUUAUUCAGCCAAUGAGCCUUACACAUCAAGAUAAAAGUCAAGAUAAUGAAAAUUUGGCUGUUUCCAUUUGAAGUUAAAAGCAACGUUUCUUUCGUUUUGUGGGCGACUCGACUGAGCACGCCCCAAUAGCUAUAUUUAGGGCGUCAAUUUGAUAUUUGAAUGGACAGGCAAGUAAGAAAUACAUUUCCUUCAUAGACAAUGACAACGAGGACAUCAAGCCACAUCAUUAUAGUUUGUAGCCCAUCUACAUUUAAACGAUUAAUAAACAAGCUUAGGUGUGCCACUGCUAUUAUUAAUUAUCCCCUGAUCAUUAUAGUUUCUGAAACAGUAAAACUAAACGAAAUUGAAUACAUCAACGAGACCGCAAUUAUCACUUGUUUAGUUGCGGUAUUUAACUUAAUUUUAAUAUAAUAUAUUUGUUAGUUAAACUUUUAAUAAUCAAAUAAUUUUGAUUUAAAAAUAAAAUUAUAGAAAUUAUUAAUUAUUAAUUAUUAAAAAUUCACAAUUAAGGGAACGUUCAUCAAACACACAUAGCUAUUGUUUUCUCUAUAUAUUGCAGUGUGUACGAUAUUGAGGGUUGAAGCCCCAAGCAUGCUCUAAAAUCCAGAUAAUAAUUAGAUCCGGGCCAAAUAUUCAUCAUUGUGUCAGCUGAUCAGUCGGUGGACAUCUCUAUUGAAAAUAUCUCUGACAUUUCACUCGACAAACUUAUUAAUAUAAAAAAUCUGUGGUUUUGCCGUCUGAAUAAUGUAGAAAAAUUUGUCUAUGCAUUAAUCUAGAUGUUUGAGGUGAUUUAUACAUCUGUGGUAAAGAUUUAUAGGUUGACUUAGACGUCUGUGGUAUAGAUUUUAUGUAUUUCAUUACAAAAUGCUGGCCGUUAGAACCCUUUCUACAUCUAUUUAUAAGAUUAACGGGUGCCAGCUAUGCCAUUACAAAUUAUCCCCUCAUCAGAUAUUUCGUUAAAAUUCAUUCUGAAACACUAAAACUAAAUAAUCGAAUAUGGCUUUGCGGGUCGAUGAUGCCAGCAGCAAUGAGACUGCAAUUAUCACUUGUUUAGUUUCUGUGCUGGCCGUGGUUUACUUCGCAUGGAAUGUGAAAAAAUCAAGGAAAGCAAAUGCUACACUGCCACCAGGACCUCGCGGCUUGCCUGUAUUCGGAUACCUCCCAUUUCUUGGAACUACUGACUUGCACAAGAAAUUCACGGAAUUAUCCGGAGUUUAUGGUCCGAUCUUCAAGCUUUGGCUUGGAAAUAAAUUAUGUGUAGUGGUGAGCUCACCUUCCCUAAUUAGACAAGUGGUUCGUGAUCAAGAUACAACAUUCGCGAACCGUGACCCACCGAAGGCUGCACUAGUGGUCUCCUAUGGUGGCAAUGAUAUUGCAUGGUCCAAUUACGGUCCCGAAUGGAGAAAGUUGCGCAAAUUUUUUGUGGGCAAGAUGAUGAAUAACGCAAGCCUUGAUGCUUGUUAUGCUCUAAGAAGACAAGAGGUUAAAAAUACUAUCAGGGAUUUGUAUAACAACGACAACAAAAUUGGCAAGCCCAUUGACAUUGGUGAAUUGUCGUUUUCAACAUUGGUAUGUGCUAUACAGAACAUGCUGUGGGGUGAAGCGCUUGAAUUAAAAGAGAAAGGGACCACUAAUCUUAGGGCUGGGCUAAAAUUUAAGCUGGCAGAACUCAUGGUGCUUGCGGGAACACCGAAUAUUUCGGAUGUCUUUCCAAUGCUUUCAUGGCUUGACAUACAAGGUAUAGAGAGGAGAGCAAAGAAGAUUUCACUCUGGCUUGAUAAUGUUAUAAAUUCUACUGUUGAACAGCAUAGAAACAAGGAGUUAACUGUUGAAGGUGAAGAAAGAGCGGGGAAAAAUUUUGAAGGAUCAAGGAACAAGAACUUCUUGCAGUUACUAUUGGAGCUUCAAGAAAAUGAUGACAGUGCUUCCUCAAUUAGCAUGAACCAAUUCAAGGCCGUACUCGCGGUAUGUUAAGCAACUAGCCACGAACAGUUAUACAAGCACAAUUGUAUAUUUGCAUGAGUGAUAUUUUCAACCUUUUUUUUUAAUUAGAAUUUUAUUGUCACCUUUUGGACAGGAUAUAAUUACGGCUGGAACCGACACCACAACUACGAUGGUGGAAUGGACAAUGGCAGAGUUGAUGCAGCAUCCACAAGUAAUGAAGAAAGUUCAGGAAGAAUUAGCUCAAGUUGUGGGCAUGGACAGUUGUGUUGAAGAAUUUCACCUGUCUAGAUUAAUGUAUUUAGAUGCUGUGGUGAAGGAAACAUUUCGUCUGCAUCCUGCAGUGCCUUUAUUACUACCACGUAGGGCAAGCGAGAGUGGCAACAUUGGUGGCUAUACCAUUCCCAAAGAUACAACUCUUAUGUUGAAUGUUUGGGCUAUCCACAGGGACCCUCACCUUUGGGAUAAUCCCUUAGAAUUUCGACCCGAGAGGUUUCUGAAUGUUGGUAUCGAGAGUAAGUUCGAUUACUCAGGUAACAAUUUUCAGUACUUGCCAUUUGGUUCUGGUAGAAGGAUGUGUGCUGGGAUUCCUCUAGCUGAGAGGAUGCUGAUGUUUGUUUUGGCUUCGUUAUUGCACUCAUUCGAGUGGGAAUUGCCAACUGGCACAAAGCUAAACUUAUCAGAAAAAUUUGGGAUUGUCAUUAAGAAAAAAGAGCCUUUGGUUGCUAUUCCAACACCAAGACUAUCCAAUUCAGAGCUCUACCAUUAAGACCAAAUGGUUGUGAUGAUUUUGUUAAUUUCCGAAGAUUUGUAUGUUAUUUCAAGUUCAAUCGUAGUAAAAUAUUUCAAAUAAGAGUCCUCCGUUGCUUUUUUUUUUUUUUUUCAACGGCAUAAUCUGUGGUCAUGCUUGUAUUUGGAGCCACUUUAGAAAAAUUAUGUUUGAAUUACAAUUUAUAAAUAUUACAUUUUAAAAUAUUAUGAGGCUAAAUUUAUACACGUUCAAUAACCCGCUUCAUAUAUAUUUAACACAAUUUAUAUCAUACAUUGUACACCCAUUUAUCAUAAAUUACACUAUUUUGUAUCUCUAAAUAAUAUUACGUAUUGAUAUUAUAAAAUAUAUAUGGAAAAGAGAACAAAGAAGAUUUCUUAUGGUUUGAAAAUAUUAUGAAUUCUGCUGUUGAACAGUAUGGAAACAAGGUCUCUGUUGUUAAAGGUGAAGAAGCAACAGGGAACAAUAUUGAAGGAAGAAAUUUCACAUGUUUAGUUGCUGAAUUUGCCGCUGUAUUCUAUCGGUAGUAAAAAAAUUAGAGUUUUUAUUUUUCUCUAUUAAUGUUAAGUCAAUUUUCUAUAACAAAUUCGGUUGAGUUUAAUUGUGUUACAAUAUAAAUUGAAUGAUAAUAGAAUUUUCAACGAAUAUUUCAAUAUUUCUAUCUCGAUUGUUGAAGUGCCAUUUAUUUGUUAUGCGAUCGAUUUUAAAAUUUAUAAAAAUUAUUUGUUACUAAAUUGCAUCAUAUGCUAAAAUCACCUGAAACCUAAUUCCAUAACUAACCCUUUAUUUUUAGUUCUCAAGAAAUCUUGUAAGAACAAAAUUCUUUUAUAACAAAACUUUUACAACACAUUAAUUUGUAACUCAUUCCUGUGCGAGAAUCACUCUCAAAUUCCUUCAAUUGCUGUUGAACAAUCAUCUGCUUAUCAAAAUUCAAGCAUAAUCUUUUCUUUUUUUUAAUUUCUUCAUCAUUCUUUUGAAAAAAAAAAAUCAGGAUAUGCUGUUAAAAUUUUGAAAUAAAUUAUCUCAAAAUAAUUACUAACCAGAAAAAACAAAGGGGUUUAACUAGGUUAUGCAUACCUUUGAAAAUUAUAUGUUGAUCGAUAAGAAUGAUGAUCACGAUUGAGGAGUUUAAUUAAAAUAUAUAAGAUUUUAAAAUUAAUCAGGGUUAAAUUGUGAAUUUUAGAAAGAGAGGUUUUGUGAGAAUGCUGAAAGGGUGUUAAUAGUUCCACUCUUUUUAAAAGCAACCAUAGUCAUCAUUUUUCCCGAUUUCUUCUUCCCAUCUCCAUCUUAUUUAGAAAUUUCCCAGAGCCUUUGUUUCCCACCUUUCAUUGUUCUUCUUUCUAAUUUAAUACUAUAGGAUUACAAAAAUAAUUACUCACAUUUUAUCAAACACCUCCAUUCUACCAAGGCCUUGUUUUAGUAGUAGGCUUUUAUUAUCUCAAUAAAAUUGAAAAAACAAAUCUCAAUAAUAUUGGAAAAAAAAAACCUACCCAUAUUUGUAACUUUAAUUUAUUAUUCUCCAUAGACCUACUUUUUAGCUUUGAAUUUUGUUGGAGCCAUAUAUAAACAGAAUAUGUUGAAUCAGCACCAAAAAAAAAAAAAAAAAACUAAUUAUAUAAUUUCUGUUCCCAAGGACAUGACUGAUUGAUUUUCAAGAAGUUUUGUUUGGCUGGCUACUUAGGUUUAAAUCUUGGUGGAGAUUAGGGGUUAAGAAAUAAAUUUGGACUUUGCACACCCCUUUAACUUUUAAAAAGAAAUGAAAAAAACUAAUUAAUUAAUCUUUAUUUUAUUUAUUAAAUAUCAUAAUCCUAUGCGUAUUUUAUUUGUUAUCUUUCUAUUUAAAAGACAGGAGGGCAGAUAAAACUGAAAUAAAUUUUUAGCCCUAUCUCCAUCUUUCAAGUUCCAUAGUUAGGUGACCAGGUAAAGAAAAUUAAUUGAAAGCUACUCCAUCAAAUUAAAAAAUUUUAUUUAUUUAAUUUGUGGAGAUGUAGAAAAUCAAACCCCAUGCCUUUUCGCGUGGAAAAGUGUCAACCUGGUCUAGCUAUGUUGCAAAAGUGAACAUAUUUUAAUACAUGACUAUCAUCCUUUAUCCUAAAUACUACUAUAACUAAUAACAUACAAUUGAAAUAAUUAAUGUUAACACUUGGCUAUAAAUAAAGGUUUUGUGCUUGAAUCUUCACGCAUGACCUUCAUUCCUUUAUUUACUUUGCUAACACAGAUUUUGAGGCAUUAAAACUAAAUAAUAAUUGACUUUGUGGGCCGAGGAUGCCAGCAACAAGGAGACCACAAUUAUCACUUGUUAAGUUACUCUAAUUGCCGUUGUCUUAUAUUCAUAGAAUAUUAGUAAUAAGAUUAUUGUAGAAUUUUUUUAUAUUAAAAUUAAGUCAAUUUGUUAUAACAAAUUUAGUUGAGUUUAAUCGUGUUACCACAUAAAUUGAAUAAUAAUAAAAUUCUCGACAAAUAUUUCAAUAUUUUUAUCCCAAGCGUUGGAGUGGCAUUUAUUUGUUAUACGAUCAAUUUUAGAAUUUAUAAAAUUAUUCGUUACUGAAUUGCACCAUAUGCUGCAUGACCUGAAACUUAAUAAACGGAACGUAGCGUUGGCACCGUUACUCAACAUACUGUUACGACUUUGUGACAUUAGAAUUAAAAUCUUUUGCACAUUUAAUUUGUUUACUUCCAAAUUAAUAUUUAACAAAAUAUUUUUUCACAUUAUCAAUGGACAAAACUCCAACGAAAAUAACUACACAAGAAAAAUGUAUGCUAGUAUUGUGUGCCAUAUCAUCUGUAAUUUUGUCAGGAUCGAUCAUUCUAAUUUUUAAGCAGAACUUUUUAUCAAUGGACAAACACCUCACACAGCUUGUCAGAGGCAUUAUUAUGAUGGAAAACUGUAAUGGUAUAUCUUGAAUUAUUGGUAGAAUAGUUCUUUGGAGCAAUAAAAACAGAUAAGACAGAUGAGAAAAUUGUCAAUACCCCACCGCAAAAGCAAAAGAAAAAAAGGAAAGGAGACAAAAGAGGAAGAAGAAAAAGAAAAAAGAACGAAGAAAAAAAUGGUGCCGCGCGGUAUAGGCAAGAAGAAAAAAUAAUAAUAAAAUAAUAAAAUAAUAGUGCACAACAGUCAUUUGAUUGCUAUAAAUAAAGGGGCAUUUCCCUCAUUUUAUUCAUCGAAUUCUUCAGUUCCUAAGCGAUUUAAGAGUCUAGUGAUUUGAGAGUUUGGGUAUAGUAUAGUUUUGAGUAGUGAGUUAAAAUAUUACAAUACUUAUAACUUAUUUUUACUAAUAAAAUAUUUUUCUUCUAUCUUCACCCGUGGACGUAGGGUCAAAGCCGAAUCACAUAAUUUUUAGUAUCCCUAUGUGAUUAUGUAUCUCAUUAUUUUUCAAUUUUACUUUAGUUACGUGUCUGCUACAUCCUUCAAUUUACUAACAAAAAUGGCCAAAAUUAUAUAAGUGACCCAAAUUUUUUUGCUAUUUCCAAGAAAUCUCCAAUCUGAAUGGGCCAGACCAGAGGGAGGCAAGUUAGAAAUACGUUUCCUUCAUAGACAAUAACAGCGAUGAGUCGAUGACAUCGAGCCACGUCGGUAUCAAUAUUGAAUUAAAGGUGCAAUUAUUCAGCCAAUGAGCCUUACACAUCAAGAUAAAAGUCAAGAAAAUGAAUAUUUAUCCUAAUUAAAACACUUUCUGGCUGCAUUUAGUUGUUUCCAUUUGAAGUUAAAAGCAACGUUUCUUUCGUUUUGUGGGCAACUCGACUCAGUUAGCUGGCUUCUAGUGCUAGUAAGUGAAAAUAGAAGGCUAAUGAUUUAUUUGUUAUCUUUUGAUAAAAUUAUUAAAGAUAUAAUAGAUUUUUCAUGAUACAAAUAAAAAAUCACAUCAACAUAGCUUCCAAAGUACAACAGCUAAUGUUUACCAAACACUUUGUUGUAGCUUUUAAGCUACAGCUGCCCAACUUUAAUUUCAAAUGCACCCUUAAUAGGUUGAUUGAAUUUGUGGGAUAUAGAUUCCACAUAUCGUAUGACCUAGUAACUAUACAAGUGGUUCGUGAUCAAGACACAACAUUUGCUUCCGGCCCGGUGACCCAGCAAUCGCUGCAUUGGUCGCCACCUAUGGUGCCAACGAUAUUGCAUGGUCCAAUUGUGGCCUUGAAUGGAAAAAGUUGAGCAAAUUAUUUGUGGACACGAUGAUAAGUAACGCAAGCCUUGAUGCUAGUUAUGGUCCAAGAAAACAAGAGAUAUGCAUAACAACAAAAAGGAAAAAAAAAAAAAAAAAAAAAAAGGCAUUUGCAAGCCCAUUGAUAUUGGUGAAUUGUCGAUUUCAACUUUGGCAUGUGUAAUCCAGAGCCUGCGCGCUGUGGUGUGGCGCUGGCACGCUUGCAUUGACGAGGGGACAAGUCUUGGGGCUGAGCUAACAUUUAAGCUCGCAGAACUCAUGGUGCUAAUGGGAACACCAAAUAUUUUUUGACAUAUUUUGGUGCUUUCAUGGUUUAAUUCAAGGUAUAGAAAGGAGUGUUGAGAAUGUCAAAUAAAACGGUAUUGAAUGGAAGUUGUUAAAGACACGAUCCGCACCGAACGACAACAGCACGGUUGCUAAAAAUCCUUCCGUAAUAGGCAUAUCUAAUUUUUGAAAAAGUGUAACCUCUACAUUUAUAAAUAUACUCAAUGUAUAAUGUUUUACUUAAGAAAUGAAAAACUUGUUUGUUCAAGGAGAAUAAAGAAAAAUUUUCUAUGAUUUUUCUAUGGUUUGAACAAAGAAGGUUUUAACGAGUAUUAUAGACCUCGAUUGAAUGUUCGAAUGUAUAAUAAAAGAGAAACUGUCACAUAAAUGACAAAGAUACUUGAAAAAAAAAAAAAAGGGCAGCAAUAGAGAAUUAGAUCCGACUGUACAAAUAACUAGUUAAUUCAUCGAUACAUCAUUUUCUUGCUAGAAAAUGACAAUUAUGACAGCAAGCCACGAUAGUGUCAAUAUUGAAAUUGAUUUGCAAUUAUUCAGCCUAUGAGCCUUACACGUCAAGAUAAAAGUCAAGAAAAUGAAAGUUAAUAUCAAUUAAAACACUUCCAUUUCUAUGUGAAGUUAAAAAACAACGUUUCUUUUGUUUUGUGGGGGAUUCAACUGAGCACGCGCCACUAGCUAGCUGGCUUCUAGUUCUAGCAUAUGAAAACAGAAUUCUAAAGAUUUCACUUUCACCUUUUUUCUUUUUUUGGGGUUUUGAAUCAAAGUCAAGGUCGCACUGAAUAAUAUGUAAAAUUUGAAAAAGAAGAAUUAAUAGAGAACAAAGUUUUGUUUUAAAUUCACAUGGUGUGCAUACAAUUCAACAAACACUUCCUAUAAUAAAUCUGGAGUUGUAUCCCACGUUGAACAAUAAAGGAAAGUCACCUAAAUAUACAUGUAGGAUAAGUUACUUUAUUUAGUAAGUUUGUAUUUUCUUCUUUCUUCUAGUUUACAUAUAAAUUUGAUUAGAUAACUUAACACAUAUUUUAAUACUUGAUCAGAAGCCCGACGUACAGGUGGAUCUAGAAACUUGAUUUCUAAGAGUAAUACUAUAAUAAAAAAAUAAUGAUUCAUAGAACCAAUAUCAAAAUUUGUUUACAAGAUUGCCCCCACUCAAAGGUAAUUUUCAUAGAAAUUAAUAGGAAAUUUAAUUGUUAGUGGGGUCAAAUUGCCCCCACACUCUGAAUGUAGAUCCACGCCCGACCCUGAGUCAAGUAUAUUUUGCCACAUAUACUCUGAAUGUCGGCAGGAAAAAUCUUCCACUUUAGUUAAAAAUUUUCACUUAAAAAAUAUUUAUGUUAAUAAAGUUCGUAAAGGAAAUGAGUUUAAUUAAUGAAUAUUAUAGGAGAAAUUAAAGGAAAUGAGUUUAAUUAAAGAAUAUUAUAGGAGAAAUUCUAUUGUUCGGCUUUUAAUAAAUUAAUUAAUAGGUUUAAAAGAUUAAUAUACAUCAAAAUAUUAUUAGUUGGUGGGGGUUCCACAUCGGACUAAUACGUGUCACCUUACUUGUGAGAUUAAGACAAUCGACUUAGACUAUUUAAAUAUGUUUGAAGCUUAGAUGGCACCGCUUCAAUUUGCAUUACUGAAUGUCAUUCUUUAUCCUAAUUACUACCGUAAUUGAUAACAUGCAAUUGAAGUAACUAAUAUUAGCACUUGGCUAUAAAUGAACUAAAGGCCGUGCAAUUGAAUCUUUACUUGAUCACUUCACUCCUUUAUUUUGCUAACACAGAUUUUGAGAUAUUAAAACGAAAUAAUAAUUGAAUCUGGCUUUGUGGGUCGAUGAUGCUAGCAAAAACGAGACCACAAUUAUCACUUGUUUAUUUGCUGUAUUUGACGUUGUUUCAUAUUGGUAGUAAUAGGGUCAGUUUUUAAUCUUUUUAUAUUAAAGUUAAGUCAAUUUGUUAUCAAAAAAAAAAAUUGGUUGAGUUUAAUUAUAUUGCUAUGUACAUUAAAUAAUUAUAAUAUUCUUGAGGGAAAAAGACACCUAGAACCUCAAGGUUUGGGGAAAUGGUCACAAAGACUCCUAAGUUUUAAAAAAGGAACACUAAGAUCUUUUUUUACCCAUAAUACCCUUUGACUAGAGUAAUUAAAAAAUUGACUUUAAAGGUUUUUAAAUAAUUCUAAUUUAAUAUAAAUCAUAUAAUCUAUCUAGUAAACUAAUAAUAUUAAAUUAUUUUUUAUAUUUAAAAUAAUGUUAAAUUUUAAAUUAUUAUAUUUAUAAAAUUAUAAAGAUUUUAAAUAAAUAUUUGGAUUGAAUAUAUUUUACAAUUAAAAGUCUUCCUAUUAAUAAUAUUAAAAUUUAAUUUUACAAAAUAUAUAUUCAAAAUAUUUUUAAUUUUAAUUUAUUUAUUUUAAUAUUAUGUUUCUACCUAUUAUUAAAAAUUACUUUAAUAUAAUAAAAUAGGUCUAAUAGAUUGAAAAAUAUGAAAAUAUUUUUAAAAUUUUAAAUUAUUUUGAAAUGUAUAUAUUAUUACAUUUAUUUCAAUGUCAUAUUUUCAUUUAUUAUAAAAUUUUGGGGUUAUUUUUUUGGGAAUUUAUAGAGUCAAAGAGCAUUAUAAUUUAAUCCAUGCACAAUAUCUAUAAUUAUAUCGGUUGUCGGCUGAUUUCGUGGAGGGGGCGGCAGUUCAAAAUUUUUACGUGCAUGUUGGAUGGACGUCUCUAUUAAAGGAGAGCCACCACUUGCAUGGUAAUUUUUUUAAAUAAAUAUAUACAUUUCAAAACAUUAUUUUCUUGUUGUAUAGUUAACAUGUCACCUUAGAUGUAUUUUAGAGCUUCUCCUAUUAAAGAUAAUCUCAUGCAGUGUUACAGAGUAUGGUAAUAUGGUAUAGAUGAGAGCAUCUGAUUAAAUGAAGCAGCUGGUAAUGCUUACGUGUGUGAGUUAGUUAUCCAGCUCAGCAGCAAAGCAAACGAAAUGAAUUGCAUGCAUAUUAGAUCCAACAAACUGGUAAACUCUAGAUUCUUCUUUCAUUUAGUAUAAAUACCAAGUUGUUAUCAUUUGCUAAAUAUAUAAUAAGAUGAUCAUUUUCAGAUCUUUCCUUUAUAAUUUUCUAUAACUUUCUCGUUAGUUUCUCUUGAACCAAACACUUUGUACGAACUCUUUCGUGCAGUGAUACUUCUCGUGAUCUAAUCAUUAGUAGAAUCUAUAAUUUCGCUACUGUAAUAAAAUCUGUCACUACCCUAUAUGAAUGUAGAUAUUUGACGCGAUUUGUAAUUGCUUCCGACAGGAAAACAGCAAUAGUUUUAUUGAAAUUUGUGGUAUAGAUUCCACGAAUCUUAUGACAGAAUACUGACCACUCCAACCCUAUCCGCAUUUACACGAUUAAUACACAAGCUUAGAUGUGACAAUGCAUUUGUCACUCAUUCAAAUUCAUCCUGAAACACUAUACACUAAAUAAUCGAAUAUGGCUUCGUGGGUCGAUGAUGCUAGCAGCAACGAGACUGCAAUUAUCACUUGUUUUGUUGCUGUACUUGUCGUGGUCUAUUUCGCAUGGAAUGUAAACAAAUCAAGUAAAGCAAAUGCUAAAUUGCCACCAGGACCUCGGGGCUUGCCAGUAGUCCGAUACCUCCCAUUUCUUGGAACUACUGACUUACACAAGACAUUCACGGAGUUAUCUGGAGUUUAUGGUCCGAUCUUCAAGAUUUGGCUUGGGAAUAAAUUGUGUGUAGUGGUGACCUCGCCUACCCUAGUUAAACAAGUGGUCCGUGAUCAAGAUAUAACAUUCUCAAACCGCGACCCACCGAUCGCUGGAACUGUGACCACCUACGGUGGCAAUGAUAUUGCACUUUCCAAUUACGGUCCCGAAUGGAAAAAGUUGCGAAAAUUAUUUGUGAGCAAGAUGAUGAGUAAUGAGACCCUUGAUGCUUGUUAUGCUCUAAGAAAACAAGAGGUUAAAAAUACUAUCAGGGAUUUGUAUAACAACAAUAAGGAUAAUAUUGGCAAUGGCAAUGGCAAGCCCAUUGACGUUGGUGAAUUGUCGAUUUCAACUUUGGUACGUGUUAUGCAGAACAUGCUGUGGGGUCAAGCAUUGGAAACAAGAGAGAAAGAGAUUACUAAUCUCGGGGCUAAUCUUGCAGAACUCAUGGUGCUACUGGGAACACCAAAUAUUUCGGAUAUUUUUCCAGUGCUUUCAUGGCUUGACAUGCAAGGUAUAGAGAGAAGAGCUAAGAAGAUUUCUCUAUGGUUUGAAAAUAUUAUCAAUUCUGGUGUUGAACAGUAUAGAAACAAGUUCUCUGUUGUUAAAGGUGAAGAAGCUGCAGCACGAAAAAAUAUUGAACGAUCAAGAAAUAAGGACUUCUUGCAGUUGCUGUUGGAGCUUCAGGAAAAUGAAGAUAGUGCUUCAUCUAUUAGCAUGAACCAACUAAAGGCCGUGCUCGUGGUAUGUUAAGCAACUAGACACAAAAAGUUGUAAAAGCACAGCGAUAUAUUUGCGCGAGGCCCCGAGUGAUGUUUUGCCUCGAGAACUCUCAAUUUUAUCUUACGGUAAAAAAUGUUUUUCAACUUUUUUUUUUAAUUAGAAUUUUAUUGCAAUUUAUUUAACAGGACAUAAUUGUGGCCGGAACCGACACCACAACUACGAUGGUGGAAUGGACAAUGGCAGAGUUGAUGCAACAUCCACAAGUAAUGAAGAAAGUUCAAGAAGAAUUCGCUCAAGCUGUGGGCAUGGACAGUUGUGUUGAAGAAUAUCACUUGCCUAAAUUAAAGUAUUUAGAUGCUGUGGUGAAAGAAACAUUUCGUUUGCAUCCUGCGUUGCCCUUAUUGGUACCUCGCACGGCAAGCAAGAAUAGCAACAUUGGUGGCUAUACCAUUCCCAACGACACUAAUCUUAUGUUGAAUGUUUGGGCUAUCCACAGGGACCCUCAACUUUGGGAUAAUCCCUUAGAAUUUCGACCUGAGAGGUUCUUGAAUGAUGGUAUCAUAAGCAAUUUCAAUUACUCGGGUAACAAUUUUCAGUACUUGCCAUUUGGUUCUGGUAGAAGGAUGUGCGCUGGGAUUGCUCUAGCUGAGAGGAUGUUGAUGCUUGUUCUGGCUUCGUUGUUGCACUUGUUUGAGUGGAAAUUGCCCUCGGGCACAAAGCUAGACUUAUCUGAAAAGUAUGGGAUUGUCAUGCGGAAAAAAGAGCCUCUAAUUGCUAUUCCAACACCAAGGCUACCAAAUUCAGAUCUCUACCAGUAAGAUCAAAAUGGUUUUGAUAAUAUUAUUUCCCAUUGUAUUGGAUUUGAAGUUCAAUCAUAAUAAAAUAUUUUAAUAAAAUGUCCUCGGUUGCUAAUUUUUCAAUAGUAUAAUCUGCACCUGUCUUUUAUAGCAAUUUGGUCUAAUUUAUUUUUGAAUUAAAAUCCAUAAAUAUUUAUAUUUUUUUAAUUAUAUUAGGAAUUAUGUGGGGUGUAUGGUCUGAUCUUCGAGCUAUGCCUUGAAAACAAAUUAUGCAUAGUCGUGCACACGCUUUCCCUAAUUAAGUUUGUGGUUCGUGCUCAAGGCACAGCAUUCACCCCCCGCGACCCAACAAUCGCUACAUUGUUCCCCACCUAAAGUGCCAACAUAUUGCAUAAGUAACGCAAAAUAUGGUCCCCAAUGGAAAACGUUGCGCAAAUUAUUUCUGGGCAAGAUGAUAAGUAACGCAAGCCUUGAUGCUUGUUAUGGUCUAAGAAAACAAGAGGUUAAAAAUACUAUCAGAGACAUAUAUAAAACAACAACAGAAAAAAUUGGCAUUAUCAUCGAUAAUGGUGAGUUGUGGAUUUCAACUUUGGUAUGUUUAAUUCAGAACCCGCAGUGGGGUGGCGCUAGCACGCCUGCGUUAGGAGACGAGGGGACCAAUCUUGGGGCCGAGCUAAAAUAUAGGCUUGUAGAGCUCAUGCUGCUAAUGGUAAUGGGAACACCUACUAUUUCGGAUACUUUUCCGAUGCUGGUUUAAUUCAUGGUUUAGAAAGGAGAACAAAGAAGAUUUUUCGAUGCUUUGAAAAUAUUAUAAUUUUUAUAAAAUCUCUUAUUGAUAACUAAACAACUAAAAUUUCUGUAAAGUUUUUGUGGACUUUUGAUCUCCUAUGGUGCCAAUAUUUUCGACUAAUUUUUUCCUUCAAUUAAUGAUGUUGGUUGAGAAAGACUAUUUUUCUUGCAAUAAUAUAGUAUUCGUGGUCCUAUUAGGGUUCCGAAUGGAGAAAGUUGCACUAAGUUUUUUGAGUACCAAAUGAUGAGUAAUGUACGUAAGCCUUGAUGGUAGUUAUGGUCUAAGAAAACAAGAGGUUAAAAAUACUAUCUGGGAUUUGUACAACAAUAACAAAAUUGGCAAGCCCAUUGACAUUGGUGAAUUGUCAGUUUCAACCUUGGUAAGUGUUUUCAGAACAUGCUGUGGGGUGAAGCGCUUGGAAUAAGAAAGAAACGGAUGACGAAUAUUGGGGCUGAGCUUAGAUUUAAACUUGCAGAACUCAUGGUGCUGUCAGGAACACCGAAUAUUUCGGAUAUCUUUCCAGUGCUUUCAUGGUUUGAUAUACAAGGUUUUGAGAGAAUAGCAAAGAAGAUUUCUCUAUGGUUUUAAAAUAUUAUCAAUUCUACUGUUGAACGCUAUAGAAACAAGGUCUCAGUUGUUAAAAGUGAAGAAGAAGACGCAGCAGCAGCAGCAGCAGGGAACAACAUUGAAGGAAGGAAUAAGGACCUGGUGCAGUUACUCUUGGAGCUUCAAGGUAAAGAAGAAAAUGCUUCAUCAAUUAACAUGACGCAAUUUAAGAGCUUGCUCGUGGUAUGUUUGCGCAACUAGCCACAGACAGUUACAGAAACUGAGUUUGGCAGAUUACGACCGUUUCUGGUGAUUAUAUAACUAUUUGUGGCUGUUUUUUGUUUUUUUUUUCUUUUAAUUGGAAUUUUAUUGUAAAUUUCUUAACAGGAUAUAAUUUAGGGUGGAACCAACACCACAACUAUAAUGGUGGAAUGGACAAUGGCAUAAUUGAUACAGCAUCCACAAGUAAUGGAGAAUGUAAAGGUAGAACUAAGUCGGGCCGUGGCCAUUGACAGCCAUGUUGAAGAAUUUCACCUACCUAAGUUAAAAUAUUUAGAUGUUGUGGUGAAAGAAACAUUCCGCACGAUAAUAUAAUAUAUGAAUCAUAUAUCCUCUAUUGGUUUUUUGCUCCUUUUUUUUUCAAUAGCUUAAUCUAUCAUUAAAAUCUUCUGAAAUUCUAAAUUAAUAUACAUUCAACCUAGAGUUCAACCCAAAGUUUUAUUGAGCAUUAAAAAAAAAAAUUCUACGACUAAAAAUUUUACAGAGUAUAAAUUAAAAAUUAUGCGCCUACUAACAGACAAAAAACAAUUGAUACACAUUCACCAAUCAAAGGCAAACAAGAGAUUAUUAACAAUAACUUAAUAAUAAAAUUAUAAGGAAUCAAAUAGAAAUGGUACCUAGAAACACAUCACGCCAUUUAAUCAAUCACUUACCCAUAAAAUCCAAACUUAUAAACUAUUAAGGGGGGGAAAUGGAUACCUUUGGGUUUCAUUAAAUCAAAAUUACAACACCAUUAAAUACUCAAAAAUGAAAAAAAAAAAAUCAUACCCAAUAAAAGAGAAAAAAAUAACCCACAAAAAAAAUCAUCAAGAAAAUAAAUUUGAGACUAAGAGAAGAUAUUAAUUAACGCCUGGGUUGCAUUGGAACCACGGCUUUGGCUUCCAUUUUUCAAUUCUUGGUCACAAGUGAUUUCUUGUUUGUUUGCAAUGAUGACGGUUGAUUAAUGAAGCUCUAUUAACAAUGAAUGAAUCAAAAAACUUGAGCCUUGAAAAGACUAACGGUCAUAUUUUUCAACUCCGAAUUAGUGGCGUUUGAUGAGUCCUUGCCAAAACAAUCACUCGGCAGAUAACGAUCAUUUUUCAACCAGCAAAACUCAUUCAUUGUUUUUCACCUUAGUGAAGAUUUAAAAAUUGUUUCAAAAUAGGAUUCUUAAAAAAAUAAUAAUAAAAUGAUAUUUAACUUAAUUCUAACUUAGGAAAACAAAAUAUCUACACUCCCAAAGUUUGGAGAAAUGGUCAUUAAUAUCCCCAACUUUCCAAAAAGAGACACCAAGAACCCUUUUAACCAUAAUACUAUUUACUUCUAUUAUCCCAAAAAACAAUUGACUCUAAUAUUUUAUAAUAAAUAAAAAUAUAACAUUAAAAUAAAUGUAAUAGUAUAUACAUUUUAAAAUAGUUUCAAUAUUUAAAAAGCAUUUUAAUAUUUUUAAAUUCUAUUUUAUAUAUAUUGAUUAUUUUAAAGUAAAUUUUAUAAUAAAUAGAAUCAUAAUAUUAAAAUAAAUGCAUUAAAAUUUAAAUUAUUUUGAAUAUUAUGUAAAAUAAUAAUUUUAACAUUAUUAGUAUAUGAGAAUUUUUUUAAUUGUAGAAUGCAUUUAAUGCAAAUAUUUAUUUAAAAUCUCUACAAUAAAUAAAAAUAUACUAUUAAAACAAAACUCUACAAUACAUACAUACAUACAUAUACAUUGGCCUGGUAUUUUUAUUUUUCAUUUUUAAACUUAUUAAAUCCUCUAACUAUCAUUUGAUUUUUUUUUUUUUUCAAUGAUCAAGAGGUCAUUGCCGGAUAAAUGAUUAAAAUCAACUAGUUCUACAAGAAUAUCUCUUUUUAAAGGAAGAUGAUUCUCUCUCUCGAAAUUUUUUUAUCUCGUGCUACAAACUAAAAACUUAUGCCACUUCAUUAACCACAAAGAUCUUUGAGGAAAUGAUGCUUCCCUCCCCCCCCCCCCCCCCCCCCCUCCCACAAAAAAAAAAAAGAGUCCUUCCAUAUUGUGUGAAGGCUAAUAUAUCGAUGAAUCUAGAUUUCUUUAAAUUUUUUGUUUUACUCAAUUCGAGAUAAUAAUUCAAUCCAUGCAAAUAUCUAUCAUUGUAUGAGCUGACCAGUUAAUAGGUUGAUUGAAUAUAUGUGGUAAAGAUUCCACGUAUCUCAUGACAGAAUGCUGACCACUGGAACCCUAUCUACUUUUACGCGAUUAAUUCACGAGCUUAGGCACAACAAUUGCAAUACAAAUUAUCCCCUCAUCGUAUAUUUCGUUAAAAUUCAUUCUGAAGCAGUAAAACUAAACAAUCGAAUAUGGCUUUGCGGGUCGAUGAUGCCAGCAGCAAUGAGAGUGCAAUUAUCACUUGUUUAGUUUCUGUGCUUGCCGUGGCUUAUUUCGCAUGGAAUGUGAAAAAAUCAAGGAAAGCAAAUGCUAAACUGCCACCAGGAACUCGCGGCUUGCCUGUAGUCGGAUACCUCCCAUUUCUCGGGACUACUGACUUGCACAAGAAAUUCACGGAAUUUAUUUUACUAUUAUAUUUAUAUUCAAAAUAAUUUUAAUUAGCUUUUAAAAUGAAUGAUUUUAGGAAAUUAUAAAUAAAGGUAACUAAGAAUUCUCUUAAUGCAAUAUAUUAUUAAUUAGUUUAAAAAUACAAAUUUAUUAAUUAGAGAAAUUAUUAGUGAAUUUAAAUUAAUGAUCUUAAUGAUUUGUUUGUACGAUUGCCCCCAAUCAAAGGUAAUUUUCCUAAAAAUUAUUAGGAAAUUAGAGAAAUUUAAUUUUUUUUAGUGGGUUCAAUUGCCCACACACCCCGACUGAAGCAUUUUUUACAAUAUGUACUCCGUUUGUCGGCAGGAAAAUAAAGGUCUUGACACAUGAUCACUUCAUUCCUUUAUUUACUUUGCGAACGCAGAUUUUGAGGUAUUAAAACAAAUAAUAAUUGAAUAUGACUUUGUGGGUCGACGACGCCAGCAACGAGGAGACCGCCAAUUAUCACAUUUUAAGUUUGCUGUAAUUGCCAUUGUUUUAUAUUAGUAGAAUAUUAGUGAUAAGAUAAUUGUAGAGUUUUCAUUUUUUUAAUAUUAAAAUCAAGUCAAUUUAUUAUAAUAAAUUUAGUUGAAUUUAAUCGUAUUACCACAUAAAUUGAAUAAUAAUAGAAUUCUCCACAAAUAUUUCAAUAUUUUAAUCUCAAGCAUUGGAGUGGCAUUUAUUUGUUAUGCGGUCGAUUUUAGAAUUUUUAAAAUUAUUCGUUACUGAAUUGCACCAUAUGCUGCAUCACCUGGAACUUACUAAACGGAACGUAGCGUUGGCACCGUUACCAACAUUCACUGUUACGACUUUGUGACAUUAGAAUUAAAAUCUUUUCCACAUCUAAUUUGUUUACUUCCAAAUUAAUAUUUAACAAAAUAUUUUUUCACAUUAUCAAUGGACAAAACUCCAACGAAAAUAACUAUACAAGAAAAAUGUAUGCUAGAAUUGUAUGCCAUAUCAUCUGUAAUUUUGUCAGGAUCGAUCAUUCUAAUUUUGAAGCAGAACUUUUUAUCAAUGGACAAACACCUCACACAGCUUGUCAGAGGCAUUAUUAUGAUGUAAGAUUGUAAUGGUAUAUCUUGAAUUAUUGGUAGAAUAGUGAAUAACUAUUUGGAGCAAUAAAAACAAAUAAGACAGAUGAGAAAAUGGCUAAAAUUAUAUAAGUGACCCAAAUUGUUUUGCUAUUUCCAAGAAAUCCCCAAUCUGAAUGGACCAGCCAGAGGGAGGCAAGUUAGAAAUAUGUUUCCUUCAUAGACAAUAACAACGAUGAGUCGAUGACAUCAAGCCACGUCGGUAUCAAUAUUGAAAUAAAGGUGCAAUUAUUCAGCCAAUGAGCCUUACACAUCGAGAUAAAAGUCAAGAAAAUGAAAAUUUAUCCCAAUUAAAACACUUUCUGGCUGCAUUUAGCUGUUUCCAUUUGAAGUUAAAAACAACGUUUCUUUCGUUUUGUGGGCGACUCGACUGAGCUAGCUGGCUUCUAGUGCUGGUAAGUGAAAAUAGAAGGCUAAUGAUUUCACUUUCACAUUUUUCUUUUCCUUUUUUGGGAAUCAAAGUCAAGGUCAAGAAGAAUAAAUGGAGAAUUCGGAAAAAUGGGUGCAUAAUGUGAUCCAUUCAUGAAGAAGAGUACGUGAGCGUCGGGCAACAGUAUUUUUACCUAUUAAGCUCCAGUUUAAUUUUGUUGUAGGAAAACAAAAUUUUGUUUUCAAUUCACAUCGUGUGCAUCCAAUUCAACAAACACUUUGUAAUAAUUAAUGUUGAGUUGUAUCCUACGUUAAGGAGAGUUACUUAAAUUUAUAAAUAGGAUAAAUUACUCUAUUUAAUAAGUUAAUGUUUUCUUCUUUCUUCUAGAUUACAUAUAAAUUUAGUCAGAUAACCUAACACAUAUUUUAAUACUCGAUCAGAAGCCCUAAGCAGUGGUGGAUCCAAUAAAUUGAUUUAUAUGGUGUAAUAAUGUAAUAAAAAAAUGGUGAUUCAUAAAAUUGACCCAAUAUCAAAAUUUGUUUGCAAGAUUACUCCCCACUCAAAGGUAAUUUUCCUAAAAAUUAAUAGGAAAUUUAAUUGUCAUUGGGAUCAAAUUGCCCCCACACUCUUGAAUGUAGAUCCUCCCCUGGCCUUGAGUCAAGUAUUUUUUCCAAUAUAUACUCCGAAUGUCGGCAGGAACAACCUUCCACUUUAAUUUAAAAUUUUUACUUGAAAAAUUAAUUAAUGUUAAUAAAGUUCGUAAGAGAAAUGAGUUUAAUAAAAGAAAAUUAUAGGAGAAAUUCUAAUGUUUGUCUUUUAAUAAAUUAGUUUAUAAGUUUAAAAAGUUAACAUAUAUCAAAAUAUUAUUGAUUGGUGGUGGUUUCACGUCAGAUUAAGACGUGACACUUUACUUGUGAGACUGAGACAAUCAGCUUAGACUACUUCAAUAGGUUUGAAGCGUAGGCGGCACCCAUUCAAUUUGCACCAAUGUCUAUCAUUCUUUGUCCUAAUUACUACGAUAAUUAAUAACAUGCAAUUGAAAUUAUUAAUGUUAGUACUUGCCUAUAAAUAAAGGUAUUGUACUUGAAUCUUCAUAGAUGAUCACUUCAUUCCUUUAUUUACUUUGGUAACACAGAUUUUGAGAGACAUUAAAACUAAAGAAUAAUUGAAUAUGGCUUUGUGGGUUGAUGAUGCCAGCUCCAACGUGAGUGCAAUUAUCGCAUGUUUAAUUGCUCUAUUAGCCGUGGUCUAUUUCGUGUGGACAAGGAAAACAAAUGCUAAACUUCCACCAGGACCUCGCGGCUUGCCUGUAAUCGGAUACCUCCCUUUUCUCGGAACUACUGACUUGCACAAGACAUUCACGGAAUUAGCUGGUGUGUAUGGUCCAAUCUUCAAGCUCUGGCUUGGCAACAAAUUGUGUGUAGUGGUGAGCUCGCCUUCCCUAGUUAAACAAGUGGUUCGUGAUCAAGAUAUAACAUUCGCUAACCGCGACCCACCGAUCGCUGGACUCGUGGCCUCCUUUGGUGGCAAUGAUAUUUUAUUUUCCAAUUAUGGUCCUGAAUGGAGAAAGUUGCGCAAAUUAUUUGUGGGCAAGUUGAUGAGUAACGCAAGUCUUGACGCUUGUUAUGCUCUAAGAAAACAAGAGGUUAAAAAUAUAAUCAGGGAUUUGUAUAAUAACAACAAAACUGGCAAGCCCAUAGAUGUUGGUGAGUUGUCGAUCUCAACUUUUGUAUGUGUUAUACAGAACAUGCUAUGGGGUGAAGCUCUUGAAUUAAGAGAGAAAGGGAUCAGUAACCUUGGGGCUGAGCUAAAGUUUAAGCUAGCAGAACUCGUGGUGCUAAUGGGAACACCGAAUAUUUCGGAUAUCAUUCCGUGCUUUCAUGGCUUGAUAUACAAGGUAUAGAGAAGAGAACAAAGAAGAUUUCUCU
This 36126-nucleotide long non-coding RNA is filed under the name Citrus maxima (pomelo). RNAcentral describes it as "long non-coding RNA (CMAX_LNC000490)". The record is from RNAcentral. Lineage: Eukaryota; Viridiplantae; Streptophyta; Magnoliopsida; Sapindales; Rutaceae.